AUUGAACGCUGGCGGCAGGCCUAACACAUGCAAGUCGAGCGGAUGAAGGGAGCUUGCUCCUGGAUUCAGCGGCGGACGGGUGAGUAAUGCCUAGGAAUCUGCCUGGUAGUGGGGGAUAACGUCCGGAAACGGGCGCUAAUACCGCAUACGUCCUGAGGGAGAAAGUGGGGGAUCUUCGGACCUCCCGCUAUCAGAUGAGCCUAGGUCGGAUUAGCUAGUUGGUGGGGUAAAGGCCUACCAAGGCGACGAUCCGUAACUGGUCUGAGAGGAUGAUCAGUCACACUGGAACUGAGACACGGUCCAGACUCCUACGGGAGGCAGCAGUGGGGAAUAUUGGACAAUGGGCGAAAGCCUGAUCCAGCCAUGCCGCGUGUGUGAAGAAGGUCUUCGGAUUGUAAAGCACUUUAAGUUGGGAGGAAGGGCAGUAAGUUAAGACCUUGCUGUUUUGACGUUACCAACAGAAUAAGCACCGGAUAACUUCGUG
RNAcentral lists this ribosomal RNA (484 nucleotides) under uncultured bacterium. Its description in RNAcentral is "partial 16S ribosomal RNA". It matches the Rfam family "Bacterial small subunit ribosomal RNA", at positions 30 to 507 of the family's 1533-position model. The record is from RNAcentral.